RNAcentral lists this long non-coding RNA (259 nucleotides) under Lathyrus oleraceus (garden pea). Its description in RNAcentral is "Pisum sativum (pea) long non-coding RNA (PSAT_LNC034858)". Lineage: Eukaryota; Viridiplantae; Streptophyta; Magnoliopsida; Fabales; Fabaceae. The record is from RNAcentral.
GUAGUUAAAGCAUCCCCCCAUCAAAACUAGCCACUCUAAGGGCGUUAGACGGUGGAGCCCGAAGACGUCUACCUCGAUCCAAAUCAUACCUUAGGGGAAUGAGCGAAGAUCCCACCCUUGGUCGAGUAUUGUCCUCUAUGACAUAGAGCACUCUACUCAACGUAGUUGGCACCCCCCCAUUCGAAACUAGCCACUCCAAGGGCGUUAGGCGAUGAAGUCCAGAGACUUCUACCUCAAUCCGAGUAUACCUCGGGGGUAG